CCCAAGACUAGAGUCACAUCCUGACAUGGUUACUUAUCCUGGUGUGUUAGGGUUCUUGAAGAGGAUCUGCUGGUCUUGGUUCACCUGUGGGGUAGUCAGUGCCCUGUUGGUGCCCAGAUCAGAAACAUGU
Nannospalax galili (Upper Galilee mountains blind mole rat) is the source of this 130-nucleotide small nucleolar RNA. The record is from Ensembl. Lineage: Eukaryota; Metazoa; Chordata; Mammalia; Rodentia; Spalacidae.